RNAcentral lists this ribosomal RNA (510 nucleotides) under uncultured Desulfobulbus sp. Its description in RNAcentral is "bacterial SSU rRNA". It matches the Rfam family "Bacterial small subunit ribosomal RNA", at positions 903 to 1382 of the family's 1533-position model. The record is from RNAcentral. Lineage: Bacteria; Pseudomonadati; Thermodesulfobacteriota; Desulfobulbia; Desulfobulbales; Desulfobulbaceae.
CGCCUUGCCAGCCCGCUCAGAAACUUAAAGGAAUUGACGGGGCCCGCACAAGCGUGGGAGUAUGUGGUUUAAUUCGAUGCAACGCGAAGAACCUUACCUGGUCUUGACAUCCCAGAAAUCCCUUGGAAACUUGGGAGUGCUUCCAUUAGGAAGAAUCUGGAGACAGGUGCUGCAUGGCUGUCGUCAGCUCGUGUCGUGAGAUGUUGGGUUAAGUCCCGCAACGAGCGCAACCCUUGCCUUUAGUUGCCAGCAGUUCGGCUGGGCACUCUAAAGGGACUGCCGGUGUUAAACCGGAGGAAGGUGGGGAUGACGUCAAGUCCUCAUGGCCUUUAUGACCAGGGCUACACACGUACUACAAUGGCCGAUACAAAGGGCAGCGACACUGCGAGGUGAAGCCAAUCCCGUAAAAUCGGUCUCAGUCCGGAUUGGAGUCUGCAACUCGACUCCAUGAAGUUGGAAUCGCUAGUAAUCGUGAAUCAGAAUGUCACGGUGAAUACGUUCCCGGGCCUU